UACGUAUGGUGCAAGCGUUAUCCGGAUUUACUGGGUGUAAAGGGAGCGCAGGCGGCACGGCAAGCCUGAUGUGAAAGCCCGCGGCCCAACCGCGGGACUGCAUUGGGAACUGCCGGGCUGGAGUGCCGGAGAGGUAGGCGGAAUUCCUAGUGUAGCGGUGAAAUGCGUAGAUAUUAGGAGGAACACCAGUGGCGAAGGCGGCCUGCUGGACGGUGACUGACGCUGAGGCUCGAAAGCGUGGGGAGCAAACAGG
RNAcentral lists this ribosomal RNA (253 nucleotides) under uncultured bacterium. RNAcentral's name for it is "partial 16S ribosomal RNA". It matches the Rfam family "Bacterial small subunit ribosomal RNA", at positions 524 to 776 of the family's 1533-position model. The record is from RNAcentral.